RNAcentral lists this unclassified non-coding RNA (240 nucleotides) under soil metagenome. RNAcentral's name for it is "partial contains 5.8S ribosomal RNA, internal transcribed spacer 2, and large subunit ribosomal RNA". The record is from RNAcentral.
AACCUAGCACACCUGCGGUGUGUACCUGCGGAAGGAUCAUUAAAGAGUAAGGGUGCUCAGCGCCCGACCUCCAACCCUCUGUUGUUAAAACUACCUUGUUGCUUUGGCGGGACCGCUCGGUCUCGAGCCGCCGGGGAUUCGUCCCAGGCGAGCGCCCGCCAGAGUUAAACCAAACUCUUGUUAUUUAAACCGGUCGUCUGAGUUAAAAAUUUUGAAUAAAUCAAAACUUUUAACAACGGA